Molecule: ribosomal RNA, 501 nt
Filed under: uncultured bacterium
Lineage: Bacteria
Description: partial 16S ribosomal RNA
Rfam family: Bacterial small subunit ribosomal RNA
Source: RNAcentral
AUUGAACGCUGGCGGCAGGCUUAACACAUGCAAGUCGAGCGGAGAGAGGUAGCUUGCUACUGAUCUUAGCGGCGGACGGGUGAGUAAUGCUUAGGAAUCUGCCUAUUAGUGGGGGACAACAUUUCGAAAGGAAUGCUAAUACCGCAUGCGUCCUACGGGAGAAAGCAGGGGAUCUUCGGACCUUGCGCUAAUAGAUGAGCCUAAGUCGGAUUAGCUAGUUGGUGGGGUAAAGGCCUACCAAGGCGACGAUCUGUAGCGGGUCUGAGAGGAUGAUCCGCCACACUGGGACUGAGACACGGCCCAGACUCCUACGGGAGGCAGCAGUGGGGAAUAUUGGACAAUGGGCGGAAGCCUGAUCCAACCAUGCCGCGUGUGCGAAGAAGGCCUUAUGGUUGUAAAGCACUUUAAGCGAGGAGGAGGCUACUUUAGUUAAUACCUAGAGAUAGUGGACGUUACUCGCAGAAUAAGCACCGGCUAACUCUGUGCCAGCAGCCGCAGUAA